Molecule: long non-coding RNA, 443 nt
Organism: Oncorhynchus gorbuscha (pink salmon)
Lineage: Eukaryota; Metazoa; Chordata; Actinopteri; Salmoniformes; Salmonidae
Exons: 3
Source: RefSeq, a predicted model, not a curated record
GUAUGCCCUAACGGCAUCAGGAACAUCGACCUCCAUUUCAUCAUCUGUAAGCUGGCUGCCCCUGUCAUCUCGGUGCUGCUGCUGUCCCUGUGUGUCCCCUACGUCAUAGCAGCCGGGGUCGUACCUGCCGUAGGUCUGUCAGGUCUGUCAGGUGUGACUCCAGAGAUGCAGAUUCUGAUUCAGAGGAGGAUCUACCCGUUCCUCCUGAUGGUGGUGUCCAUCAUUGGCAUCCUCUCCUUCCAGAUACGACAGUUCAAACGUCUCUACGAACACAUCAAGAACGACAAGUACCUGGUUGGCCAGCGGCUUGUCAACUACGAACGCAAGGCUAGGGGAACCAGCUCUGUCCCACCCCCUAACUCUAUCCCAGAGUAGUCAAGUUUGCUUUUGGAAACCACCCAUCUCGUGUCCUCCCUCCCCCUCUCUCCCACCCUCCCCUUUCC